Oreochromis aureus is the source of this 393-nucleotide long non-coding RNA. RefSeq lists it as uncharacterized. The transcript has 5 exons. Lineage: Eukaryota; Metazoa; Chordata; Actinopteri; Cichliformes; Cichlidae. The record is from RefSeq and is a predicted model, not a curated record.
GAAUUUGUAGACAUCCUGGCAGCUUACAAUUAGUUCGAGGUGAGGGUGCUGACCCAAAUCUGUGUGGACCAGAACGUACCAAAGAGAACUACAACUCUGCUGUUGAUCGCCUCCAGAUUGACAAUACACCAGACGUCGAAGGAGUGAAGUUCAGACACUGAAUUUGAGCAGAAACCAUAAGGAUACUCAAAGGACCUGUGACUCUCAGGAAAUGCAUCAAAUGAGAGGGACAGAUGAAACAGUUUCAAGACAAUGGCAGGAAAAACAUGCUGAAGAUUGAAACAAACCUUGGCUGGAAAUAUUUGAAGGUAUCUAGCCAGUCCACAAUGAAAGCUUCGUUGCACCCCAUGAGUCUUCUGGCAGAAAUGAUGGCGCCUGUAUUCUUUGGUUUCC